UCAAGCUACAAAGGGCGCAUGGUGAAUGCCUUGGCAUCAGGAGCCGAUGAAGGACGUGAUAAGCUGCGAUAAGCUUCGGGUAGGCGCACAUAGCCUGAGAUCCGAAGAUCUCCGAAUGAGGAAACUCACAUGGGAAACCCCAUGUAUCAUUAAGUGAAUACAUAGCUUAAUGAAGGUAACCCAGGGAACUGAAACAUCUAAGUACCUGGAGGAAGAGAAAGAAAAAUCGAUUUUCUUAGUAGCGGCGAGCGAAAGGGAAAGAGCCCAAACCGGAAACUUGUUUCCGGGGUUGAGGACAUAACAUAAAGAGAAGUAAUGGCUAAUUGAAGAGAACUGGAAAGUUCCACCGUAGAAGGUAAUAGUCCUGUAAAUGAAAGCUAGUAUAAUCGAGUUAUGAUCCAGAGUACCACGAGACACGUGAAACCUUGUGGGAAGCUGGGAGGACCACCUCCCAAGGCUAAAUACUACCUGAUGACCGAUAGUGAAGCAGUACCGUGAGGGAAAGGUGAAAAGAACCCCGGGAGGGGAGUGAAAUAGAACCUGAAACCGUGUGCCUACAACCGCUCAGAGCCCCUUAUGAGGGUGAUGAGGUGCUUUUUGUAGAACGAGCCAACGAGUUACGGUAUGUAGCAAGGUUAAGUACUUAAGGUACGGAGCCGAAGGGAAACCGAGUCUGAAUAGGGCGACUAGUUGCAUGCCGUAGACCCGAAACCGGGUGACCUAUCCAUGGCCAGGUUGAAGCGAGGGUAAAACCUCGUGGAGGACCGAACCACGUUGCUGUUGAAAAAGCAUGGGAUGAGCUGUGGAUAGCGGAGAAAUUCCAAUCGAACCCGGAGAUAGCUGGUUCUCUCCGAAAUAGCUUUAGGGCUAGCGUCGAGUAUGAGUAGUGGAGGUAGAGCACUGAAUGGGCUAGGGGGCAUAGCGCUUACCGAACCUUAUCAAACUCCGAAUGCCACAUACUUUGAGCUCGGCAGUCAGACUACGAAUGAUAAGAUCCGUGGUCAAAAGGGAAACAGCCCAGAUCGUCAGCUAAGGUCCCAAAGUGUAAGUUAAGUGGGAAAGGAUGUGAGAUUUCUAAGACAACUAGGAUGUUGGCUUAGAAGCAGCCAUUCAUUAAAAGAGUGCGUAAUAGCUCACUAGUCGAGAGAUCUUGCGCCGAAAAUGUAACGGGGCUAAACUUACCACCGAAGCUACGGGCUUGAACUUAGUUCAAGCGGUAGGAGAGCGUCGUAACCGGGCUGAAGUCGUACCGUAAGGAGCGGUGGACUGGUUACGAGUGAGAAUGUUGGCAUCAGUAGCGAGAUGUGGGUGAGAAUCCCACAGGCCGAAAACCUAAGGUUUCCUCAGGAAGGUUCGUCCGCUGAGGGUUAGUCGGGACCUAAGCCGAGGCCGAAAGGCGUAGGUGAUGGACAACUGGUUGAUAUUCCAGUACCACUACCAUCGUUAUUAUCGAUGGCGUGACGCAGGAGGAUAGUGUGUGCUAGCUAUUGGAUGCUAGUCUAAGCGUUUAGGCAGUGAGAGUAGGCAAAUCCGCUCUCAUAAUGCUGAGGCGUGAUGGGGAAGGUUCUACGGAACCGAAGUACAUGAUUCCACGCUGCCAAGAAAAGCGUCUAGAGAGAGAAGUAGUGCCCGUACCGCAAACCGACACAGGUAGGUGAGGAGAGAAUCCUAAGGCCGGCGGAAGAAUUACAGUUAAGGAACUCGGCAAAUUGACCCCGUAAGUUCGCGAGAAGGGGUGCCUACGAGAGUAGGCCGCAGAGAAUAGGCCCAAGCAACUGUUUAGCAAAAACACAGGUCUCUGCUAAAGCGUAAGCUGAUGUAUAGGGGCUGACGCCUGCCCGGUGCUGGAAGGUUAAGGGGAACACUUAGCGCAAGCGAAGGUGUGAACUUAAGCCCCAGUAAACGGCGGCCGUAACUAUAACGGUCCUAAGGUAGCGAAAUUCCUUGUCAGGUAAGUUCUGACCCGCACGAAUGGCGUAAUGACUUGGGCACUGUCUCAACUGUAAAUCCGGCGAAGUUGUAGUGCGAGUGAAGAUGCUCGCUACCCGCGAUUGGACGGAAAGACCCCGUAGAGCUUUACUGUAGCUUAGCAUUGAGUUUUGGUAUUGUCUGUACAGGAUAGGUGGGAGACUAGGAAACCAGGGCGUCAGCCUUGGUGGAGUCAACCUUGGGAUACCACCCUGACAGUACUGAAAUUCUAACUGGCGGCCAUGAAUCUGGUCACAGGACAUUGUUAGGUGGGCAGUUUGACUGGGGCGGUCGCCUCCUAAAAAGUAACGGAGGCGCCCAAAGGUUCCCUCAGAACGGUCGGAAAUCGUUCGAAGAGUGCAAAGGCAGAAGGGAGCCUGACUGCGACACCCACAAGUGGAGCAGGGACGAAAGUCGGGCUUAGUGAUCCGGUGGUACCUCGUGGGAGGGCCAUCGCUCAACGGAUAAAAGCUACCUCGGGGAUAACAGGCUGAUCUCCCCCAAGAGUCCACAUCGACGGGGAGGUUUGGCACCUCGAUGUCGGCUCGUCGCAUCCUGGGGCUGAAGUAGGUCCCAAGGGUUGGGCUGUUCGCCCAUUAAAGCGGCACGCGAGCUGGGUUCAGAACGUCGUGAGACAGUUCGGUCCCUAUCCGUCGCGGGCGUAGGAAAUUUGAGAGGAGCUGUCCUUAGUACGAGAGGACCGGGAUGGACUGACCUCUGGUGUACCAGUUGUUCCGCCAGGAGCACAGCUGGGUAGCUAAGUCGGGAAUGGAUAAACGCUGAAAGCAUCUAAGCGUGAAGCCAACCUCAAGAUGAGAUUUCCCAUAGCGUAAGCUAGUAAGAUCCCUUGAAGAACACAAGGUUGAUAGGUCGGGGGUGUAAGCAUGGUAACAUGUUCAGCUGACCGAUACUAAUAGAUCGAGGGCUUGACCAA
RNAcentral lists this ribosomal RNA (2902 nucleotides) under Clostridium perfringens. RNAcentral's name for it is "bacterial LSU rRNA". It matches the Rfam family "Bacterial large subunit ribosomal RNA". The record is from RNAcentral. Lineage: Bacteria; Bacillati; Bacillota; Clostridia; Eubacteriales; Clostridiaceae.